GUGGAUGCCUUGGGACUGGAAGGCGAUGAAGGACGUGAUAACCUGCGAUAAGCCUCGAUGAGCUGGAAAUAUGCUAUGAAUCGGGGAUUUCCGAAUGAGGAAACUCAACUAGAUUAAUCUCUAGUUACCCAGCACUGAAUACAUAGGUGCUGUGGAGCGAACCUGGCGAAUUGAAACAUCUUAGUAACCAGAGGAAAAGAAAAUAAAAAUGAUUCUGUUAGUAGCGGCGAGCGAAUGCGGAAGAGCCCAAACCAACUUUAUGUUGGGGUUGUAGGGCGGCCUACAUGGAGUUACAAAGUUUAUGCAUAGUAGAAGUAGUUGGAAAGCUACGGCACAGAGGGUGAUACCCCCGUACAUGAAAUGCAUAAGCCUCCUGGCCGUUCCCUGAGUAGGGCGGGGCACGUGGAACCCUGUCUGAAUCUGCCUGGACCAUCAGGUAAGGCUAAAUACUAACCAGUCACCGAUAGUGAACUAGUACCGUGAGGGAAAGGUGAAAAGAACCCCGGGAGGGGAGUGAAAUAGAAUCUGAAACUUAUAGCUUACAAUUAGUCAGAGCCCGUUAAUGGGUGAUGGCGUACGUCUUGCAGGACGGACCGGCGAGUUAUAUUUACUAGCAAGGUUAAGCGGAUAAAAGCGGAGCCGUAGAGAAAUCGAGUCUUAAUAGGGCGAAUUAGUUAGUAGGUAUACAACCGAAACCCGGUGAUCUAUCCAUGAGCAGGUUGAAGUGGUGGUAACACAUCAUGGAGGACCGAACCAGGGUACGCUGAAAAGUGCUUGGAUGACUUGUGGAUAGCGGUGAAAUUCCAAUCGAACCGGGUGAUAGCUGUUUCUCCCCGAAAUAGCUUUAGGGCUAGCGUGUAGAUUUAAGUAGUGGAGGUAGAGCACUGAAUAUGGAAUGGCGGCGUCUAGCCGUACUGACUAUAAUCAAACUCCGAAUGCCAUUAUGUAUAUCUAUGCAGUCGGACUAUGGAUGAUAAGACCCGUAGUCGCGAGGGAAACAACCCAGAUCGUCAGCUAAGGUCCCCAAUUUAUACUAAGUGAGAAACGUUGUGGGGUUUCUCAGACAACUAGGAUGUUGGCUUAGAAGCAGCCAUCAUUUAAAGAGUGCGUAACAGCUCACUAGUCAAGAGACCCUGCGCGGAAAAUGUAACGGGACUAAGUAUAAAACCGAAGCUACGGACAACCGAUGUUAUUUGGUUGUGGUAGGGGAGCGUUCCUAGGGCACUGAAGGUAGACCGGAAGGACUACUGGAGCGCUAGGAAGUGAGAAUGCCGGUAUGAGUAACGAUUCAGAGUGAGAAUCUCUGACGCCUAUUGGGAAAGGUUUCCUGGGCAAGGUUCGUCCACCCAGGGUUAGUCGGGACCUAAGGUGAGGCCGAAAGGCGUAGCCGAUGGACAACUUGUUGAUAUUCAAGUACCCGCUAUUAAGUGAUGGAGUGACGGAGAAGGAUAGUUUUACCUGUUAUUGGAUUCAGGGGUAAGCAGUAAGUGGUGUAUGUAGGCAAAUCCGCAUACUAUAACCAUAAGCUGUGAUGCAUAGUGAAAGCUUCGGCGAUUAACGAAUUAAACGAUUUCAUGCUUCCAAGAAAAGCUUCUAACUGUAUUAAUAGCGGCCCGUACCGAGAACGAACACACGUUCCCAAGAUGAGUAUUCUAAGGCGAGCGAAAUAACCAUUGUUAAGGAACUCUGCAAAAUGACCCUGUAAGUUAGCGAUAAAGGGUGCUCACUUUUAGUGAGCGGCACGAACCGGGGGGGGCGACUGUUUACCAAAAACACAACUCUCUGCUAAAGCGUAAGCUGAUGUAUAGGGGGUGACACCUGCCCAGUGCCGGAAGGUUAAGUUGAUUUGUUAGUUGAUUCUAUUAACGAAGCAUUGAUAUGAAGCCCUGGUGAACGGCGGCCGUAACAAUAACGGUCCUAAGGUAGCGAAAUUCCUUGUCGGGUAAGUUCCGACCUGCACGAAUGGCGUAACGAUGGCCACGCUGUCUCCACCCGAGACUCAGUGAAAUUGAAAUCGCUGUUAAGAUGCAGCGUAUCCGCGGCUAGACGGAAAGACCCCGUGAACCUUUACUACAGCUUCACAGUGGAUCUUGAUGUUGCUUGUGUAGGAUAGGUGGGAGGCUUUGAAGCCAUAGCGCUAGCUUUGGUGGAGCCAACCUUGAAAUACCACCCUUACAAAAUUGAAUAUCUAACCGGCUAUGCUGGGAAAAUGUCAGGCGGGUAGUUUGACUGGGGCGGUCGCCUCCUAAAGAGUAACGGAGGCGCCCGAAGGUUCCCUCAGCACGGUUGGAAAUCGUGCGCAGAGUGCAAAGGCAUAAGGGAGCUUGACUGCGAGACCUACAAGUCGAGCAGGGACGAAAGUCGGGCUUAGUGAUCCGGUGGUUCCGAAUGGAAGGGCCAUCGCUCAACGGAUAAAAGGUACUCCGGGGAUAACAGGCUGAUACCGCCCAAGAGUUCACAUCGACGGCGGUGUUUGGCACCUCGAUGUCGGCUCAUCGCAUCCUGGAGCUGGAGUCGGUUCCAAGGGUAUGGCUGUUCGCCAUUUAAAGCGGUACGUGAGCUGGGUUCAGAACGUCGUGAGACAGUUCGGUCCCUAUCUGCUGUGGGCGUUGGAUUAUUGAGAAGAGCUGCUUCUAGUACGAGAGGACCGAAGUGGACGCAUCACUGGUGUUCCAGUUGUCCUGCCAAGGGCAUAGCUGGGUAGCCAAAUGCGGAAAGGAUAACUGCUGAAAGCAUCUAAGCAGGAAGCCUCCUUCAAGAUGAAUAAUCCCUAUAAAUCCCAUCUAGACCAGGUGGUUGAUAGGCUGGAGGUAUAAGUGUG
This 2821-nucleotide ribosomal RNA is filed under the name Phylliroe bucephala. RNAcentral's name for it is "bacterial LSU rRNA". It matches the Rfam family "Bacterial large subunit ribosomal RNA". The record is from RNAcentral. Lineage: Eukaryota; Metazoa; Mollusca; Gastropoda; Nudibranchia; Phylliroidae.